RNAcentral lists this long non-coding RNA (2463 nucleotides) under Oryza sativa (Asian cultivated rice). RNAcentral's name for it is "long non-coding RNA (OSAT_LNC000654)". The record is from RNAcentral. Lineage: Eukaryota; Viridiplantae; Streptophyta; Magnoliopsida; Poales; Poaceae.
AUCUCUCUCUCUCCUCUCUCACUUUUGCUCGUUCUCCUCUCUGUGUUGCCGUCUAUAGCCGCUGUGCCGCGCCUUCUAGCGCCGCCGUCGCCGGCGGUGCCUCGCCGGAGAUCCGCCGGAAUUCUCCGCCGCCUCCCCGGUCGCCGGCUGCCGAGCCGAGCCUCGCCGCCACGGCACAUCGCUGCCCGGGACUGGGAUAGAGCAGCGCGUGGAGGAGGAAGAAGACCUCCUCAACCACUGCCAAGCCGGCCCCACCUCCCUUUCCUCUCUCAAGCCGCUGACAAGCCGGGCCCGCGCCUCCUUUCCUCCAUUGGCCGCUGACAGGUGGGCCCCCUCCCUUUGCUGUUAGUCUAGCGGAAUAUUCCAACGGAAUAUUCUCUUGCCGUCCAAUAAAUGAAAUUCUAGAAAAACCAUUUAUCCUUUGAAAAUUCAUAGUAAAUCAACCAUAACUCCGAUUGACCCCGUUAAGUUCCUAAAUUUUUCUAAAAUUGAGAUCUACACAGUGGUGCUAUUGUUUCUCUGGUUUGAGCUUGUUUUAUUGCCUUUUGUUUAUUAGCUUUGUUUUCGCGUUAAGAGCCCGAGUUCGAGGAAGCUCCGGACGCCGCUUUCGAAUGAGAAGACCCCAACCCUGUGCAAGGCAAACCUCUUUGGUCACUUUGCCUCUAUAUUUGCAAAGAUAUGUUGUUUGAAAAGUGCAUUACUUAGCAUACACGAUUAACAUGUUUAGGCCUCGGAUUGUUUUAACAACCGACGGACCAACCUAGUAGUCGCAUUUAUAUUACAUAGGUUGAUGUUUCCAUACCUUUGAUAGCUCCACAAAUGUUUGCGCUGGUAUCGUUACACGAUUACCGAGGUAGUUUCGCUUAGCCAUGCUUACGUUGUUGCCGUGUGGGAAACUUGGGUUAUUCCAAAUUACCUGAUUAAAAAUCCGGUACGUUGUACCGAGGAGUUGUGAAAUAAAAUGUGUUGUGAAAGUGGUGAUGAUGCGGAGUCAAGCCUUUGUGGUUUGGCCACGUAUUGUCGUUAAGGACCGAUUCCUUUGGGAAAUCCAUCCGAACACGUUACAAUGCGACCACACGAGUAUUUAUGGGAUGCCUCUGGUUGAGUAAAUUGUUUUCACAUGGGAGUUGGUGUGCCAAUGGUUGUGGAAUACCGAGGAUGAGGAAACGAAGUGUUACACAUUUAUUGCCCAUCAUGGGUGUCUUUUUGCCUCUAUUGUGGCGUGGUACCAGUAGGAGUAGGAGGCAUCCUCGGUAUUUCCUGAGUGGAUGACGGCUGUCAUUGCCUGAUACUCGGCUAUGGAUUUUAGCCCAACUAGGUGGUAUGUGAUUUUCAUGGGUUAGCUUUGGAAAGGCCUUAUCACGAACUUCCGGUACCGGCCAGUACCGGUGUAAGUUUCGUGUCGUGUGGGUAAAGCGUGCAACCUCUGCAGAGAUUAAUGAACUGUUCGAACAGCCGUGCCCACGGUCAAGGGCGAGUGUAAGGUGUUUCUCAUAGCGUAGAUUUGUUUGACAAAGGUUUGUGGAAAAGUGGUUACUGAAAAAGGAACGUUACCAGAGUCCGCCUGUGUGGCAGACGGCUAACUUUUGUGGUUAGGAACGGGUCUGUGUGACCUGGGGUGUCGUCCGACACCAAGGUGUUGUUAGGGCCAUGAUGACGUUGAUGUGCUGGGAUAACCAGGAUAUUUGUAUGAACUGUGUUGUUGUGAAAAAGGAACUAAUAGAGAAAACAAUUUAAUUGUUGUUCGUUAAUUGUGACAAGUUGUUGCAAAGCAACUUGUGGAAUGGGUCGAGGCGUGAGCCUCCUCUCGACAACUAAAACUUGACUCACUCACUAGGAAUUUUGUGAAAUAAAUCAUUUUGCCAAAAUGGCAGCCUUCGCAAAUAAAACCGUAGCCUCCUUGUUAAACCGACAUGUCAUUCUUUUCCCUGGCUUGCUAAGUACGUUAAGUACUCACCCUUGCCCCUUAUAAUAAUCUAUAGAGUUUGAAGAUGAAGACGUCGACCCGACCGCCGAGAAGUAUCUCCAGGAGCAAGCCGAGUAUGAAGACUUUUAGAUGUUUCGUGCCUAGCCCCAAGCCUCGCCUGUGAAAUAAGUUAGUUGUCUAGGUUCUUUGCCUAGUGCGUAGUCGCUUAGUUGCUUAGUUCUCCGUGCUAUUCAUUUCUGCGCCGUCGCUUUUGUGUUUUUCUGUAAUGUUGUGUUGUUCAUCUAUGGGCAUGUCCAUGAUAGCAACGUUUAUAAGGACUACUACCCAGUGAUGUAAUAAAGCAGUUUACUUUGAUUCCACAUUUAUUCUGUGAGUAUCAGCUAGUGUAUCCUGGGACUGGUACUAUAUCACAGGUAAUGCAUAACACCCCGGUGUGAGUUAGCUGUGUUUAUAGCUAACAAAUGUCGGGGCGUUACAAUAACGAUCACGUGUCACAUUAUAAGAAACGUUCUUUUGGAGGACGUAUUUUAAAAAAC